This 1303-nucleotide long non-coding RNA is filed under the name Capra hircus (goat). RNAcentral's name for it is "lncRNA (ENSCHIG00010021215.1)". The record is from RNAcentral. Lineage: Eukaryota; Metazoa; Chordata; Mammalia; Artiodactyla; Bovidae.
UCAUCAUAAUAAUGAAUCUGAUGUUGAAAAUAUGUCAGGUAAAUAAAUCAGAUAAAUAAAAUAAAUGCAUAUUUUAUCUUGGAAAGUACAUGUUGAAGUCAACUAGUGAGUCUCUAGGAGGGUUCUUAAAACAUUUGUCAGCAAAGAAAUGUCCAGAUUCAGAUAUGUGAAAAAUAGUAAUGCAAUUUACAAUUGUGCCUUUUAAUAGGUGCUCCUUAGAUAUCCACAAAUCCCCCCUACUACCCCUCCAUUUAAAAAACUUUGCAUUUCCCAGUGAGUACAACUUUUGCCCUUGCUAUUAAUAACUCAUCACAAUGACAGACAGCUAUAUUAUAGUACUUAAGUUAUAAAUAGUAUACAUUUUUACAUUGACAAAUNNNNNNNNNNNNGUUCAAAGGAUUGUUUGUGUGAAACAGAGAUAUAUGGACCCCACUGAUCAAUGUACAAAGAUCCUUUGUCAAAGAAGUUAAAUUUAUUUUAGCAAUGUUCCUUAUUAAAAUUAUUUUUAUAUUCUUAUUGGAACUCUAAAAUUGAUUUUUGUUUUCUACUACAUUUGUUUAAUCAUUAAUGAUUAUCCUGAGCUAGCAAUUGCAAUAUAGCUAUUUAUAUAUAAGGCUAACAUAUAAUUUUAUGCAUUUGUUUGUAAACAGUUUGUAAGAAAGAAGAUGAAUCUGUUAAUCCAAUUGAAUAGACCAUACAUGUUUGUAUGGCUCAGUUACUGGAUAGGGAGGAGUAUUUUUCAUUUUCUGUAGCAGAUAAAUAUUCACCAUAUGCUUUAUGAUUGCGGAUUCAAAGUUGAACUGUUUUCGAGACUGGGAGAGGGUGCUAUUGAUACAUGUGAGCUAUUGAUAUCUUUAUUUUGAACUUCCUCUAUCUUCCUCUGAAAAAGUGAUGAGUGAGACUCUCAACUAUAUCAUAGAUAAUUAUUUUUCAUAUUAAACAGUGAAAGAUUCUAAUGUGCUAUUUGAAGCACUUUUCUUUUUCUUCUGUGGGGACUAACUAUAGUCAAAACUGUAGUUCACUUUUCAAGACUGUGCCAUGGCUUCAGCCUUUAAUUUUGUCAUUGUGUAGUUUAUUCUUCCCUUGACAAUGACAUGAGGACCAAUUUUCUCUUUAUUAACAAUAGAAAAAUGCUGAGUUUGUGAAUAAGCUAGUCAUUCUUUGUAUUUGGCCGGACUUCAUGUUUCCUAUCUUAAACUGACUUUAGAAAUGGUUUAUUUUAUAUCUUGGUAAAUAUAUACCCUAUAAACCUAGUGAUUUUUACUUUAAAACUAAGACAAUAGUGCCAGUUUUACCUUAGAUG